GUGAACUGAAAGAUACCCUCCCUGCGAAGACGUACCCACAGUGAAUCUUGAUGGGGGACCAGUGUGCUCCACUGCCAGCGAAGAUGUUGGGAGCACUCUGAGGAGCUGUAUUCUAGCAGCAGCAGUACCACCCCUCCCAUCCCCCACUGCCAUCAGGUCCAUAAGAACAUUCAAAGUUUACUGAUCUAACAGACCAAAGAAAAUACCACCCAUGACAGAGCUGGCUAAACAGCAAUCCUAUUAUCCCUCUCUGGCACGAUGGGAAAGUGCAUUUCCCAAAUACCGCUGUAAUUAGGCUGAGGCCACGUGACUGGGUCUGGCCAAUGCUGCAGGCUAGAAAAGACGUCAAGUGGCUUCUGGGCCUGGCACAAAGCCCUGCACUCAAUGGCUCAUGCGCUCUCCUCCUGUGGUAACAUCAAAGGCCACGAGUGAAAGAUGGUGGCGAUCCAAGAUGGAAGCUGUUUGGAUUCGUGUGUCACCUCUUGGAAGAGAGCCACUAAUCUGCUUUGGCUGUGACUUGAGCAAGUAGUAAACUUAAAGUGUGUCAGGCCUAUGAAGCCAAGGGUUCUUUAUGUAGGGCUUGUUAUCCCAGCUCAGGCACUUGGUCAGCAGUAAAGCAUGGCUUUUCUCUAGGAUCACUCAAACCUCUAUGCACUUGGCUGUCUACACUGGUGCUCGCUGGCUGGAGCCUGGCAUUGUCGUGAGAAGACAGACAGUCUAUGACAAAGCAUAUUGGCCUCUUGUCACAGCAUCUGAAAACAGACUACAGAUAUUUGAAUGGGUAUAUGUACAUAUAUACACACUUUUAUGGACAAGCCUUGAAGCAUUUGCUGAUAAACACAUACUUCUGGGGAAAUUCAUAUUUUCUAAAUCAAAGUCAAGAAAAAUGAAGUCGAUCUGGGUAUGGAGGCUCACGCACUUGUGAGGCUGGGGCAGGAGUACUGCCGUAUAUUAGAGGCUAGUGUGGCCUACACAAUGAGAUGCUGUCUCAAAAGGAAAAUAAGAGAGAAGAGAGGGAAAGAGGAAGGAAAGAGACAGAAAAUAAGCAGAAAGAGAGAGGAAGGUCAAAUGAAGACAGAGUUCUUCAUGCUUCCAAACAGCGUUGUUUUACUGAACUGGAACAUAAUGAUGCUGCCCCAUGGAGUGUGUCCUCAGGCUCCCCCAACUCCCAUCUCAAUGCUUGUCUUUGAGGAGAGCACCUUUUGUUAUACCUCAAGCGUUCAUUGCCAUCUCCAAGGGGACAGCUGGGUACUUUCGCUCUCCAGAUGAAAGGCCACUACGUAGGCAGUGGGCACUCGAACCUCAGGAUGCCUUUGAGCUGAGAAUGAACUCUGGAGAAAGCCAAACCACUGUGCAUGGAAACAAGAGCCGAGGGCUGGGAGGCUCAUGGUGUCCUCUCUGGAGGCUUUCAUCCUACUGAGGAGCAGAGUGAAGGGAGGAGAACCAAUGUCUAGGAUGAGCCACCACAGCAGCAGAGAGAAAAAACCAACAGGGAGAACAGGACUCUUAAAAAUGUCACUCAAAUAUCCAAACACACUGUGACAGUUUCUGACCUACGGUUCACCAGUGGCUGAGAGAAACAGAGAUGGAGCUGAGUGAUAUGAAGACGGGGAUGUGGCUGGGCAGAUUGGGACAGGGACAGAAACAGGAAGAGGAAAAGGCUAUGAGACAUGGUGACAGAUGUGUCCCCUCUGCCACCACACCGCAGAAGCCCAUAAAGCUAUACCUGAUGCUAAUUGUGCUUUUAAGCUGUGUGUGGGGUGGGUCCACUCACCCACACGGGCAUGCGUGGAGGCCCAAGGCUUGUAUUGGAUCGUCUUCCUCGAAUGCUUCUUUACCUUCUUUUUUGAGACAAGGUCCCUUACUGAACCUGAAGCUGUCUGGUGAGCCCCCAGGCUCUCUGUCCCAGAACCCUGAGCUGAUAUCACAGGUAUGUGCUGCUACUAUGACCAGCUUUACAUGGGUUCUAGAGAUGCAGACCCAGGACCCCAGGCUCACUCACUGAAACAUUUCUCCUGCCCUGUGCUCCUGUUUCUACCUGAGAAAAUGUUAUUUGGAACUCCUCGAAAACGUUUUGCUUUCUACCUCAGAUGUAGAAGCCAGGGCUUCUAGGAGAGGUCUCUUUCUUGUUUUCUUGUGGAAAUUCCAGGCUAACCACACUCAGCCAUUAGUUUCUGCCUCCUCCGGUCAUCUGUAGUGAGCUGUGGCGUGCCUUUCUUCUGGGAGGCCAUGUUUCUUUGUGUGGGUUUAAACCUUUCAUGCUUCCAGGAUGCAUUUGUUUAUUGUUCCUGACACCUCUCUGCACAUGCUUCCACACCAGACAGAAUUUAGUUAGGGCCGGAGCUGCCCAGGCUUAGCUGCGGCCGUCACAUUUUUCUUUUCUUCUUUUUUAAUGUAGCAUCUUUUCAGCAGAUGGUGGCAGAGGAAUUAGUAGCACUGGAUUCUAGUUCAUAACCAUUUGGAUGAUCUUGACCCUUGACCUUUGCCGCUUUGGACGGAACGGCCAAGUGAUGACCUGGUUCAUGUCUGUAGAUUCUCUGUCUCUGACUCUUGGGUAACCCUUGUAGGUAAACUUUGCCUCUUUGCUCUCUUCACUUUUUCUUUUCAGCAGUGACCCCUCUGCUCUUCAGUCUGGCCUCCUCCAGCAGAGGAUGGCUAGGAACAAAGAUGGCUGAGCAUUGUGCUGACUCGGAUGAGCUUGGGUAAAAUGUGUGUGGAAGGAAGUCAGACGCACCUAAAUUUAGGUUUACAUCAUUGUAACAAAAUACCCAAGGCUGGUAACUGUAUAUAUAUAAAAAGACAUGGCUUAUUUACAUUACUUACAGUUGUGAAUGUCCAAGGACCCACAUCUUGUGAUGGGUGGCCUUCUUGGUGGCCAAGUCCCGAGGCUGCUCAGAUAUCACAGAGUGAGAGGCAGGGAAUGUACACACAUGUGUUCCAGUCUUUCUCCCUCUAAGAAAGCCACUAGAAUUCAAUCAUGGGGCCGCCACAUGAGGAGUUUAAUCCCAAUCACCCCCAAACUCAUCUCUAUACAUUACAUUAAGUUCAUUCACAUCUUAAUUCCUCAAAAUGGGGAUUAAAUUUGAACUCAUAACCCUGGGGGACACAUUCUAACCCUUUGCAAAUCAUAGCAUAUGGUUG
This is a long non-coding RNA of Peromyscus maniculatus bairdii (prairie deer mouse), 3141 nucleotides long. RefSeq lists it as uncharacterized. NCBI's taxonomy places the organism in Eukaryota, Metazoa, Chordata, Mammalia, Rodentia, Cricetidae. The record is from RefSeq and is a predicted model, not a curated record.